This 491-nucleotide ribosomal RNA is filed under the name uncultured bacterium. Its description in RNAcentral is "partial 16S ribosomal RNA". It matches the Rfam family "Bacterial small subunit ribosomal RNA", at positions 29 to 507 of the family's 1533-position model. The record is from RNAcentral.
GUGCACGCUGGCGGUAGGCCUAACACCUGCAAGUCGCACGGCAGCACAAUAAGAGCUUGCUCUUACGGGUGGCGAGUGGCGGACGGGUGAGGAAUACAUCGGAAUCUACUUUUUCGUGGGGGAUAACGUAGGGAAACUUACGCUAAUACCGCAUACGACCUACGGGUGAAAGCAGGGGAUCUUCGGACCUUGCGCGAUUGAAUGAGCCGAUGUCGGAUUAGCUAGUUGGCGGGGUAAAGGCCCACCAAGGCGACGAUCCGUAGCUGGUCUGAGAGGAUGAUCAGCCACACUGGAACUGAGACACGGUCCAGACUCCUACGGGAGGCAGCAGUGGGGAAUAUUGGACAAUGGGCGCAAGCCUGAUCCAGCCAUACCGCGUGGGUGAAGAAGGCCUUCGGGUUGUAAAGCCCUUUUGUUGGGAAAGAAAAGCAGCAGGUUAAUACCCCGCUGUUCUGACGGUACCCAAAGAAUAAGCACCGGCUAACUUCGUG